Molecule: long non-coding RNA, 4173 nt
Filed under: Nicotiana benthamiana
Lineage: Eukaryota; Viridiplantae; Streptophyta; Magnoliopsida; Solanales; Solanaceae
Description: long non-coding RNA (NBEN_LNC028810)
Source: RNAcentral
GAAGCACUACACUUUAGAGCCUAAUUACCAUACAUAAUUAUAGAUUGCCUAAUUAGUAUUCGUAGCUAAUGUUCAAUUGUUAUAAGAUUUUAUCACUUGUAUUUAGAUGCUCAAAUCGUGGCGCGAGCGAAUACAACUUGUAUCAAUCGUAUACGUUUGCACAAGGCAAAAUACGGGUGUACACAACGGAUACAACAUGUACAACCAAGGUAAAUACAGAAAUACAAAAAAUAAAAUGCUCUUAUUGAGAGUCAAACUCAAAACCUCUACUUACUAAGGCGGUAUACUAACCAACUGAGCUACAAGAGCUUGUUACACUUACAAGAAAUGUGCCUUUUAGCGGUGAUAAAAGUCGCUACUAAAUCAUUAAAAGUCACCGCUAAAUGUUAUAGCCGCGACAUCGGACUUGUUGCACCUCAAGCCAUUACAAAACGUUCUUUGUGACGACUACAAAGUGUCGCCACAAAUUGUCACCAUUUAAUAGUUUGACAUGUUGCCACAAAUUAUGUUCCAUGAAACAAAUUCUGGGGCAGGUCGCCACUGAACAGUGGCUUUUAGCAGCGACUACAGUCGCCACCAAAAAUAAAUAUCUAUCACUGACAGUCUUCAAUCGCUGCUACAGAGUUGCUUUUAGUAGCAGUGUAAGUCACCACAAAAACAAUUGACUAUUACCAGCAAUUCUCAUAUUGCAGCAAUUGAUGUCGCCACAAAAAACUCAAUAAUCAGUGGAGACUAUGAGCUCGCUGCUAGAGAUUUGCUUUUAGUAGCAAUCAUAGUGGCAACGAUAAAUGCUACAAAAACUAUUAAACAAUCAAUGACAACUUGAAUAUUGCAGAAUGAAAUAUUUUCAUCACUGAAACCUACUCAAUUCAGCAAUUAUAAUGACCAAAAUUAUAUAAACGCAUUCAAUAGUAAUUUACAAACACCAAGCGAAUAUCUUAAGUUGGAUACUAAAUACUUCCAUUACUACAAUGCGAAUUACAUAUAUAAUGCAUAAUACUUUAUUGUAAUUGUAUGCAUAUACAUCCCAAAAGAGUAAAAUACUAAGUGCCUUGAGCCCCUCCUUGAUUGUCUCUAUUGUUUAAGAAAGAACAAGAACAGGAAUUGCCUGUUAUAUAUUUACUAGAUAGUGUUGGCCUGUGCCCAAGCACAGGCCCAAUAGCCAAUAUCUCAUAUAAUCACCCCAUACUAGGCCCAAUAGCCAACAUCUCAUAUAAUCUCCGCAUACUAUUUAUGUUUAUUUUUGGAUGUUGUGCGGUUUCCAACUGAAACAUUCUUUACAUCCACGGUAGUACCAUUAGACGCUAAAGUACGACGUUUCCUAUGUAUAUGAGAAUAUUAUUUACAUAUGGAUAAAAAGUGAUGCAUAGCCGUACUCUGAUUAGUCUACUUCUUAGAAGUCUUAUAGCUGUAGAAAUAUGUAGUAAUAGUCAAAUGUCAGUAUCCAUAUCCUAAAACAGACUAAAUGCAAACUUUAUGCUUAGUAACAUAUUUCAUGUCAAGCACACUCAAUAAUAUAGUCAAUUUUAUAAUAAGAUAAAAAUAUUAGAUGACUUAGAUGGGAUAAUUCAAAAUUUUAAAAUGGAUUUUGAUGAUGAAUGAUCCACCCUGUGAAAAGCAUUGCCACUAAACCCAAGAGUGGAUAAAGGAAGAUAAAAUGUUCUGUCAAGUGUACCUAUAAGCGCUCCACCAGUUAUGCAGUUAUAGAGUAAUACAAAUAGUUGCACCAAUAGAAGCAAAUAGGUGCAACAUCCAUUCACCUCAUGGUAAGCAGUGUGGAAGCAGAAGCUUGAUGAAGUCGCGAGGAACAUGUCAUAUAUUGGAACUGUUGAGCUUGACAUGUGUGUAAGUUUUAUGAGAGAUGGAUAGUUCUGUAUGCCUCUUCCUAUCAUAUCUUAAUACUCAGCCAUCAUUUUGCUUAUCCAUUCUCAUUCGAAGAGUGUGCUUUCUGUCUACUUUUGUAAAAGUCAAAUUCUUGUGUAAAACACCUAGAAACAGAAAGUACAAGAGUUAAUAUUGUGAUUUGCUGGAAAAUAUUGGAAUAAUUGGUCAAAUCUGAAAGCACUUUCAACUUAUGAGGGUUCAUAUCUACAAAGAAAGGAAUGCCCGGAUGACAGAAGAAAUUAUAUGGAAAUAAUAAAGUUAUAAUCUUCUGAUCAAUGCUUAAAUAGUUUGCAAGGUCAUAAGAGAUCAUAUUCCAUUUCUUUGCUCAGAAUUAUUGGCUCCUUUAAAGCUUUCAAAUUUUAGAGGCGAAACCACGCCGGCAGCUCAAAAGCUAUCUUCUCAGAUCAAUUCAUGAACUUUAUAUGCAUAGAAGAAUAAAAUGAACUCCUUAUACAUAGUAUGGAAAGCAGGACACUCAUGAUAAUAUGGACACCCGUUUUUCCUUUAGAAGAACUCCAUUAAUGGUAAAUCCCAAGCAAACUUAAAUAACACAAACGAUCGGCAGUCAUAAAUUGAUUAACUAUACCACAACAAUAUGGUCAAUUUACAUGGACGACAACAACACAUUCAAUUUGAGUAAUACGUAAAAUACAAAAUUUUAAUAUAGCAUCAUACCUUCAAUAAGUAUUUCUUCAUUUUUAUGAAAAAGUUUUCCCCCAAUUCACAGGAAUGUACAAAAUUUGCAUCCUUGUUGAAGGCAGUCCUAAUUGGAUAUCGCUAACCAUAGAAUCAAAUAGUUCAGGAGUUUUCGCCAAUUCUGAAACAAACAUGAAAAGUAAUAGAGGAAAAUAAAGGUUAGAGCCAACUAUUGCCAGGCAAAUCAUUCACUCCCUACAUCCAACCCCACCCACAAACCGACUGAAAAGAAAAACACAAUCUUUUCUAGAAGAGGCUGUGUAGUCAAUUGGUAAGAUGUCUAACUUGCAUAUAAUAGAGAAUAUGACAAUAAGGUGACACGCAGGAGUUUUGCAUAGUUGGCAAACUCCACUAACAGUUGCCACCCUGUUUGAUUUUCAUGUAUGCCACAAUUUCUCUGAGCAACAAUUGUAGUUCACAUCAAGACUCCCCUAAAAAGGUCCAACCGACAACUUGAAGUUGUAAACUAACAAAUAGGAAUUGUUCUACAUUUAUCUAUGGUUGAACCAGAAAAAAGAAAAAAAGGAAAGAUCAGUCUUUCUACAAAAAGAUUAUUAUAAUUGACAGUAUCGUAAUUCCAAAAAAAAAUAGAAGAAAGGAUGGUGAAAUUCCUAAUACUCUACUUUUUUUUCUACGUUUUACAAAUAAAAUCACGACCUCAUAACGAAUUCAAAGUAUUAGUGAAAGAAAUGUUUUCAACAGGAUCCAGAAAAUAAAAGGAAUUCAGAAAAAUAGGGGAGAAAAUUAAAUGAACAGGAAAAUGUUACUUGGAGAAAUUUGUUUUCAAGAUUAUUACACUGAAACAUUAAAUGCAUACUGUAAUAACAAUGAAUUAAGCACACACUAACAUUAAUACAACUAAAAAGCUAAUAAAUCUAAUCAGCUCACGCAACACCACCAUGGGCUUAAUUGUCAUUGCACAACAACCUCCGUGGCAGCACCAAAAACCAAGAAAAAUAUUGAAAAACAUACCUCAGGCUCAGGAACUGAAAACCCAACAAGGGUUUGAACCAAAAAAAAUAGCUUCAGAUUCUUGAAAGUGAAAAAAAAGUAAACUUUAAAGAACCAAGUUCAGUAUUUGUCACAAACCAGAAUAUUAGGGACAAAAGCUAUAUGUAUAUGUAUGUAUAGGUAAUCAGUAGAUAUGGAGAGAGAUAUGUAUAGGUAAUCAGUAAAUUUAUAUAAAAUUAAUAUGGGUUUUCAAUUAAACAUACGCACAAAACUCAGAAAAGUCGCUGAGAUUAUGGAAAACUAAGCAACUCUAUGAGAGAAAUCGGAUGUACGAUUUUCCUCCACAAAAUUGGAUUAGUUUUUCCUUAAAAAGAAAAAGGCAGAAAUUAGGGAUUUGACCACAAACCUAAUAAUUGAGUUUCUUAUGUUGAUAAGAGAGAUUAGGAGCAGAUAAUCCCUUGCUAUUUUCUUCUAGCAGAGUAGGGAUUUUAGAGAGGGAUGAGAGAUUUGAGAGAGAGAGAACGAGAGAACAGACUAUUUGUUCUGGGUAACUUUUUGAGAAUUUUAUUUUAUGUAAUUUGUUUUGUUAUUUUAAAUUAAAAUAUAAGAGGGUGGAGUAGCGACCCAGUCGCUUAAUUUAAA